This 442-nucleotide ribosomal RNA is filed under the name uncultured bacterium. RNAcentral describes it as "partial 16S ribosomal RNA". It matches the Rfam family "Bacterial small subunit ribosomal RNA", at positions 338 to 795 of the family's 1533-position model. The record is from RNAcentral.
CCUACGGUGGGCAGCAGUGGGGGAUAUUGCACAAUGGGGGAAACCCUGAUGCAGCGACGCCGCGUGGGCGAAGAAGUAUUUCGGUAUGUAAAGCCCUAUCAGCAGGGAAGAAGAAAUGACGGUACCUGAGUAAGAAGCACCGGCUAAAUACGUGCCAGCAGCCGCGGUAAUACGUAUGGUGCAAGCGUUAUCCGGAUUUACUGGGUGUAAAGGGAGCGUAGACGGCAGCGCAAGUCUGAAGUGAAAUGCCGGGGCUUAAACCCGGAACUGCUUUGGAAACUGUGCAGCUAGAGUGCAGGAGAGGUAAGUGGAAUUCCUAGUGUAGCGGUGAAAUGCGUAGAUAUUAGGAGGAACACCAGUGGCGAAGGCGGCUUACUGGACUGUAACUGACAUUGAGGCUCGAAAGCGUGGGGAGCAAACAGGAUUAGAUACCCGGGUAGUC